Molecule: ribosomal RNA, 248 nt
Filed under: uncultured bacterium
Lineage: Bacteria
Description: partial 16S ribosomal RNA
Rfam family: Bacterial small subunit ribosomal RNA
Source: RNAcentral
GAUCAUGGCUCAGGAUGAACGCUAGCGACAGGCUUAACACAUGCAAGUCGAGGGGCAGCACGGUGUAGCGAUACACUGGUGGCGACCGGCGCACGGGUGAGUAACACGUGUGCAACCAACCCCGUACCGGGAGAUAACCCGCGGAAACGUGGACUAACAUCCCAUGACACUCUAGAGCCGCAUGGCUCUAGAUUUAAAAUUCCGGUGGUACGGGACGGGCGACGCGCGACAUAGUAGUUGGCGGGUAA